GACUCUCGGCAACGGAUAUCUCGGCUCUCGCAUCGAUGAAGAACGUAGCGAAAUGCGAUACUUGGUGUGAAUUGCAGAAUCCCGUGAACCAUCGAGUUUUUGAACGCAAGUUGCGCCUCAAGCCUUCGGGCCGAGGGCACGCUUGCCUGGGCGUCACGCACCGAGUCACCC
RNAcentral lists this ribosomal RNA (171 nucleotides) under Meconopsis racemosa. RNAcentral's name for it is "5.8S ribosomal RNA". It matches the Rfam family "5.8S ribosomal RNA". Rfam says of the family: 5.8S ribosomal RNA (5.8S rRNA) is a component of the large subunit of the eukaryotic ribosome. Lineage: Eukaryota; Viridiplantae; Streptophyta; Magnoliopsida; Ranunculales; Papaveraceae. The record is from RNAcentral.